AUAUUGUUUCUGUGAUGUUAAUGGAGG
This 27-nucleotide non-coding RNA is filed under the name Cricetulus griseus (Chinese hamster). Lineage: Eukaryota; Metazoa; Chordata; Mammalia; Rodentia; Cricetidae. The record is from RNAcentral.